Molecule: ribosomal RNA, 497 nt
Filed under: uncultured bacterium
Lineage: Bacteria
Description: partial 16S ribosomal RNA
Rfam family: Bacterial small subunit ribosomal RNA
Source: RNAcentral
GAUGAACGCUGGCGGCGUGCCUAAUACAUGCAAGUCGAGCGAACAGACAAGGAGCUUUCUCCUCUGACGUUAGCGGCGGACGGGUGAGUAACACGUAGAUAACCUACCUAUAAGACUGGGAUAACUUCGGGAAAACGGAUCUAAUACCGGAGAAUAUAUUCAACCGCAUGAAUCAAUAGAUAAUGACGGUUUUGCUGUCACUUUUAGAUGAUUCCGCGCCGCAUUAGCUAGUUGGUAAGGUAACGGCUUACCAAGGCAACGAUCCGUAGCCGACCUGAUAGGGUGAUCAGCCACACUGGAACUGAGACACGGUCCAGACUCCUACGGGAGGCAGCAGUGGGGAAUCUUCCGCAAUGGGCGAAAGCCUGACGGAGCAACGCCGCGUGAGUGAUGAAGGCCUUCGGAUCGUAAAACUCUUUUAUUAGGGAAGAAAAAAUGUGUAAGAAACUAUGCCCGUCUUGACGGUACCUAAACAGAAAGCCACGGCUAACUACGUG